AAUUCACCAAGUGUUGGAUUGU
This 22-nucleotide small nuclear RNA is filed under the name Arabidopsis thaliana (thale cress). Its description in RNAcentral is "snRNA_14024". The record is from RNAcentral. Lineage: Eukaryota; Viridiplantae; Streptophyta; Magnoliopsida; Brassicales; Brassicaceae.